RNAcentral lists this long non-coding RNA (1350 nucleotides) under Ananas comosus (pineapple). RNAcentral's name for it is "long non-coding RNA (ACOM_LNC033695)". The record is from RNAcentral. Lineage: Eukaryota; Viridiplantae; Streptophyta; Magnoliopsida; Poales; Bromeliaceae.
UUGGGUUCGUUCGUGCGAGCGAGCAAGGCGAGCGAGCAAGCGAGCGAGUCAAGUGCGCGCGUCGUAGUAGGGCCGUCGGAGGUCGGGCGAGCGCGGAAUUUCUUCUCCUAUUGACUUCUCGCUGUCGUGGAUUAACGGUUGAGGUGGGUUUAUCGUCGGAAUCCUACUCCUAUAGUAUUGUUGGUCGACAUGUAUCGUUAAUAUUAUACGUUGUUAUUGUUUAACUCAAAUUCAUGAGUAGGUAUGUGUUAGACAUAUAAACUAAAUUGGGAGCAUGUUAUUAGUUGUUAUUAAUCAUACAUGUGGGACUUAGAUAAAACAUAGGAGAAAACCAGCGUUCGGGAUCUGGCAUAUGUUGAACUACCUGAUUUAGCCCUAGGAGUCGUUGUAUUUUUAUACUGUUGCAGUAUCCUCAUAGUGAGUAUCCCAGAUAGUUUAAAUUUCAGUUACGCUCGUGCUGGGAUGCCGAGCCGAUUUUACAGUAGUGUUUACAGUGUUCCGGAUUAGUGGGUGCCGUAGUGGUUGACGACGGACCCGAAUUUGAUCGUUCCGAUAUCAGAUUGUGCCGAGAGCACGUGACUAGGGGUUGGUAGCACUGUUAGACCUAUUUUCUUGACUUUAGCCUGUGAGUGCCUGAUUGAGCUCGACAGAGAUACGCUUGCAUACUCGGUUGGGUCGCGCCCACGAGUACCGCUCCGGAGUCCGGCUAUGUGCUUUCGCAUUGAUGUCGCUGAUUAGUUGCUAUCCACGGACUGUUUAGCGUGGAAGUAGCGCGGCUUAGACAGGCGGGACGGGUGCGUACACAGUCCCUAAUGAGAUUGGGUUAGAAUUGAUAGUAGACAUAGUGGGAUAGUGUAGUGGCAUGUAGCUGUGGAUUUUUUUUCGGGUUUACCUUUUAGCCUUAUUUCCUAUUGUAAUCUUAGUGGGUGAGCCGAUGAGUUUGAGGGCGGUACCUACUGAGGACUACUUGUUUUACAGUAGUUCUCACGCCCAGUUGUUACCCUGUGUUUUGCAGAGCCUGCUGUUCCGGCUCCUGCGUCUUCAGAGGCGGAUCGAGGCAAGGGCGUCGCGAGCUAGAGCCCUACCCGACGAAGCGCCGUGCUAGAGGAUCACCAGCUGUAGGUAGUAGUAUUUUUAUUUUGAGCUUAUGUACAUACUGAUGCUAGAACUCGCUGGAGCGAGUGUUUUUGUACUUGUUAGUUUGUAUGUAUAUGAGAUUUGUUCGUUCUACCUGCUUAGUUCUCUUCAGCUCUACACUACUGUUUGUAGUUUUGUAUAUUUUACUGAGACGGCUAUCGCUUCGUAUAAAGAAAAAAUUUCUUCGUAUACGACGGAUUUGUCGGCGUGCCC